Molecule: long non-coding RNA, 566 nt
Organism: Juglans regia (Persian walnut)
Lineage: Eukaryota; Viridiplantae; Streptophyta; Magnoliopsida; Fagales; Juglandaceae
Exons: 2
Source: RefSeq, a predicted model, not a curated record
AAAAACAAAAAAGCAACUAAAACGGGUUUACGAUUGUCCAUUUUCAUGGGGCCUUUGUUCAACCCUCUCAGCUAAAGCUUCUGUUGCCUUACGAGUGAGACGAACCUCAGAGAAAGUCUGAAGGAGAGAAUCGAAGGAACAACAAGAGAAUCGAAGAUGGGGAUAGCGAGUAAGGCAGGAGAUUGGGCAUUCAAAGCAUUCACGGCAGGCCUGGGUGUCGCCACGAUUUACCUCACAGCCACUUUCUCUGUCAACGUCUACCGAGGCCUUGCUUGGCACAACGCUCAAUCCAAAAUGGAGAAGCAAGGCUCCAGUGAGCCAGCCCCAUGACUUCAAAUUUUGCUUCCCUCCUGAAUCCUACACUGCAUUUUUCUGUCCUUGAAUGCACCAUAGAAACGUUCAUAUUCUUACUUUUAUUGUCUCAUCUAUAAAGUUAAAAUGCCUGGCCAAUAAGCCUCAAUUUGUGGGAUUAACUUUCCAGAUUUUAUGUAGAUCUUUGUUAUUUGCAGAUAGCUGUUUGGAUCAAUUAUUUCUUUAACAGAACAUGAUUUGGUUUGCCUUGGUUA